ACGCGUAUGCAACCUGCCUGUAACAGGGGAAUAGCCUCUUGAAAGAGAGAUUAAUGCCGCAUAAUACGAUAUUCGGGCAUCCGGGUAUUUUUAAACAUUUAUGGGUUACAGAUGGGCAUGCGUUUCAUUAGGUAGUUGGUGAGGUAACGGCUCACCAAGCCGACGAUGAAUAGGGGUUCUGAGAGGAAGGUCCCCCACACUGGUACUGAGACACGGACCAGACUCCUACGGGAGGCAGCAGUGAGGAAUAUUGGUCAAUGGACGCAAGUCUGAACCAGCCAAGUCGCGUGAAGGAUGAAGGUAUUAUGUAUUGUAAACUUCUUUUGUCAGGGAAUAAUGGGUGUCACGUGUGACGCAGAGGAAUGUACCUGACGAAUAAGCAUCGGCUAACUCCGUGCCAGCAGCCGCGGUAAUACGGAGGAUGCGAGCGUUAUCCGGAUUUAUUGGGUUUAAAGGGUGCGUAGGCGGUUUGUUAAGUCAGUGGUGAAAGUUUGCGGCUCAACCGUAAAAUUGCCAUUGAAACUGGCGAACUUGAGUACAGUAGAGGUAGGCGGAAUUCGUGGUGUAGCGGUGAAAUGCUUAGAUAUCACGAAGAACUCCGAUUGCGAAGGCAGCUCGCUGGACUGUAACUGACGCUGA
RNAcentral lists this ribosomal RNA (639 nucleotides) under uncultured bacterium. RNAcentral describes it as "bacterial SSU rRNA". It matches the Rfam family "Bacterial small subunit ribosomal RNA", at positions 113 to 749 of the family's 1533-position model. The record is from RNAcentral.